GACGAACGCUGGCGGCGUGCCUAAUACAUGCAAGUUGAGCGCUGAAGGUUGGUACUUGUACCAACUGGAUGAGCAGCGAACGGGUGAGUAACGCGUGGGGAAUCUGCCUUUGAGCGGGGGACAACAUUUGGAAACGAAUGCUAAUACCGCAUAAAAACUUUAAACACAAGUUUUAAGUUUGAAAGAUGCAAUUGCAUCACUCAAAGAUGAUCCCGCGUUGUAUUAGCUAGUUGGUGAGGUAAAGGCUCACCAAGGCGAUGAUACAUAGCCGACCUGAGAGGGUGAUCGGCCACAUUGGGACUGAGACACGGCACAAACUCCUACGGGAGGCAGCAGUAGGGAAUCUUCGGCAAUGGAUGAAAGUCUGACCGAGCAACGCCGCGUGAGUGAAGAAGGUUUUCGGAUCGUAAAACUCUGUUGGUAGAGAAGAACGUUGGUGAGAGUGGAAAGCUCAUCAAGUGACGGUAACUACCCAGAAAGGGACGGCUAACUACGUG
Molecule: ribosomal RNA, 497 nt
Filed under: uncultured bacterium
Lineage: Bacteria
Description: partial 16S ribosomal RNA
Rfam family: Bacterial small subunit ribosomal RNA
Source: RNAcentral